AGGAAAUGGUGGUAACAAGCAUUUAUGCAGUGCUUCCUUCCUAUGUGCCAGACACAGUCUCAGAGUUUUGUGUUUGAUCCUCCAAACACCCCUAUAAGAUCAGGAUAGGCAUUAUUAUUUAUAGUUAUAACAAAUCAAAGCUAAAUGACUUGCCUACGAUCAUGCAGCUAAUAAUUGUUUGAGGUUAUAUUAUAACUGAGGUCUUCCUGACUAUAGUCCCAAUACCCCUAUCCACUAUACCACUUAGCUGAAUAUAUGACUCGGAAACAGUUGUUAAAUACUGUCCAUUCUCAUAAUAAUAAACCACAUAUAUAGUGUUGUAAGGUUUAAAAGGGGUUCACCUCACCAAAAAAUAAACUGUGAAAUGGAUAGUACAAUAUUUUCAUUCUCAUUUUUUAAAUGAUGGAGUUAAGGCACAGAGUGGUUUACUUAUCAACAUCACAUAGUUAGUGGCAGAAACUAAACUCAGUCUGAUUACCUUUGUACUAUCUUACUGUUUUCUUUUUCUAUAGUAUCUCACACAUGGAAUUUUUCCAUUAUCUUCAAAGACAACCUUGUCUCUGGUCUUAUUACAUCUCUGGAAUUAACAAAUAAGAUGAUCACCCCAAAACCUGGAAAGACUUAAAUGAAGUGAUGCAAAGUGAAGUGAGCAGAACCAGGAGAAGGUUAUACACAGGAACAGCAAUUAUGUAUGAUCAACUGUGAAUGACUAUUAUCAACAAGAUUUUAAAGCCUCCAUUUCCUGGAAGGAUUAAGUAUGGAUAUGUUUCCUCAAGGGGUAAAGAACCAAAAGAGAAACUAUAAUAACAGCAACAUGCUUGAUGGGGUUCAAUGUAAGCCCUGAAACAUUUUAUCAAUUCAAUCUCAAAAGACUUAUUAGUGAUAGGAAAAAAUUUUCAUGCUAACUCAUGGACCUAACUAACCAAGAUUUACCUUAAAAAAAUUAAAAUCAAACUAACUUCAAAGUUCAUGAACUACACAAACAUUAUCUAUUAGUCACUUAUAGCCCUGUUGUCUCAACAAGUAGAGAUUAAAUUCCUUAAGAUUUUGCUAAAUAAGCCUUCUGAAUUAUACCAUUCAUAUUAAAAUUACCCAAAAUUAUUUUUAGAAACUCACUGAUAUACUGUUUCUGUAUUCCCAUAGCUAUAGGGCUCUACACUAAGUCCUGAUCAUGUUUCCAAUUUAUAACAGUAGCACCUUGAUAGAAUCUUUUCCCUGUGGCAUAUAUGUAUAAAAAUGUUAUUCACUUUUGUAGACGGACAAUUUGUAUUAAAUUGUCCAAAGAUAACAAUGGUUAAAAAUUCAGUUAUAAGUGUGUUUUAUACUUAAUGUAAUCCCUACAUGGCCUCAGUAUAAUCAAGUCUCUGUAAACAAUUGUAUAGUUCUUUUAGGGAAUUUUUUUUUCCAGGAUAGUAAUAAAAUAUUUUAGAAAUUCUUAAGAAGGACA
This 1447-nucleotide long non-coding RNA is filed under the name Monodelphis domestica (gray short-tailed opossum). RNAcentral describes it as "lncRNA (ENSMODG00000050217.1)". The record is from RNAcentral. Lineage: Eukaryota; Metazoa; Chordata; Mammalia; Didelphimorphia; Didelphidae.